Hordeum vulgare subsp. vulgare (domesticated barley) is the source of this 125-nucleotide non-coding RNA. The record is from Rfam. NCBI's taxonomy places the organism in Eukaryota, Viridiplantae, Streptophyta, Magnoliopsida, Poales, Poaceae.
UAAUUACUCUCUCCGUCCGGAAUUACUGUUCACCAAAAUGGAAAGGGAUAGAUGUAUCUAAAACUAAAAUAGGUCUAGAUACAUUCAUUUCUAUGACAAGUAAUUUCGGACGAAGGAAGUACUAU